This 305-nucleotide ribosomal RNA is filed under the name uncultured bacterium. RNAcentral describes it as "bacterial SSU rRNA". It matches the Rfam family "Bacterial small subunit ribosomal RNA", at positions 335 to 656 of the family's 1533-position model. The record is from RNAcentral.
CCUACCUACGGGAGGCAGCAGUAGGGAAUAUUGCUCAAUGGGGGAAACCCUGAAGCAGCAACGCCGCGUGGAGGAUGAAGGUUUUCGGAUUGUAAACUCCUUUUGUUAGAGAAGAUAAUGACGGUAUCUAACGAAUAAGCACCGGCUAACUCCGUGCCAGCAGCCGCGGUAAUACGGAGGGUGCAAGCGUUACUCGGAAUCACUGGGUGUAAAGGGCGUGUAGCCGGGCUGACAAGUCAGAUGUGAAAUUCCGGGGCUCAACCCCGGACCUGCAUUUGAAACUGUUGGUCUUGAGUAUCGGAGAG